CACUGGCUUACAGUUCUGGGGUCCCUGAGGAGAAUGCCACAAACGUUCAGUUGUAGUAAGUAAAACAGGUUUACCAAAUGUAUUUACAUUCUGUAAAUGUUUCUCUGGCUAUAACAGUCACUUUUGAGACUUUUCUGGUAAUUUUUUAUUAUUUAUUUUGUGUAUAGUACUUCUCACAAUGUGCUAGCUAGUGUGCAAACACAAUGAAGAUCUGAUCUCUGUUUAAAAAUGCCUGCAAUCUCUGGAAAAAAAAUGAGUGGCAGAAAGAUGAGCUGACAAGUAUAUAAAGAAGAUGCAGUUGCUCCUGCCAGUUGUUUAAUUUCCCACAGCAUAACACUCCAUAGACUAGAAUUGAGUUUUAAAGGUAUCAAGACAGAAUCUACCAUGAGAGAUCACAAUGGAAAGCUUGGCCUUCAGCACAGCCAUCACACUGGCGAAGAGGCUUUUGCAGAUUAGAAGACAAGAUAAUGAACUCCUCUGGGACAGCUGACAUGGAGCUAAGGAUUUCAUUGUCUGAAAAACCGGACAUGGACAUGGAGAGCAGGAGAGCAUCUCAGGAGCAUGAGCAUGCCAUGAGAAUGAGAUGCUGCGGAUUAUGAAGGACCAGUCAGACAUGUUGAGGCUUCUGGUUGAGCUUCAAGAAAAACAGUUUGAGGUUAGACUCCCUCUGCAGCCCCUGCAGAACGGCCUGCAAGCAUCGCCCUGUUUCCAAUCCCCCCCCCCCCCCGAAACAUUCCAGAAGGUGAGUGGGGAAGGUGCAGUAUCCCUCCCAUGCAACACCUGGGGAGGGUAUAAGAACAAAAGGCGGCCACUC
Molecule: long non-coding RNA, 814 nt
Organism: Dermochelys coriacea (leatherback sea turtle)
Lineage: Eukaryota; Metazoa; Chordata; Testudines; Dermochelyidae
Exons: 3
Source: RefSeq, a predicted model, not a curated record